CUGAAGUCAGACGCUUAACCGACUGAACCAACCAGACGCCUCAUCCUUUAAGUCUUUUGAAGGAUGUCGCUCCACAGUCUUCUGGCUUUCAUUCAUCCCAGCCAGAAAUCUGUUGUCAUCCUUAUCUUUGUCCCUCUGUGUAUGAUAGAUACAUCUGUCUGCCUCUGAUUGUUUUCAAAUUAUUCUCUUUAUCACUGAUACUGAGCAAUUUGUAUUUGAUGUCCCUUGGUGUAGCUUUCUUCAUGCUUAGAAUUUGUUCACUAUAUUAUUUGAGGAAAUUUUGGUCUUUAAUUCUUCCCAUAUAUUUGUGUCUCUUUCUUCAGGGGUACAAGUUACAUGGACAUUCGGCUGCUUGAACUUGUUCCACUACUCACAGCGUCCAGUUAAUUGCAAGGAAUUUUUGGAGUCGUUACAGCAGGCUCGGCUCUCUCACUCCC
Molecule: long non-coding RNA, 437 nt
Organism: Lynx canadensis (Canada lynx)
Lineage: Eukaryota; Metazoa; Chordata; Mammalia; Carnivora; Felidae
Exons: 3
Source: RefSeq, a predicted model, not a curated record